RNAcentral lists this ribosomal RNA (492 nucleotides) under uncultured bacterium. Its description in RNAcentral is "partial 16S ribosomal RNA". It matches the Rfam family "Bacterial small subunit ribosomal RNA", at positions 29 to 507 of the family's 1533-position model. The record is from RNAcentral.
AGUGAACGCUGGCGGUAGGCCUAACACAUGCAAGUCGCACGGCAGCACAGUAAGAGCUUGCUCUUACGGGUGGCGAGUGGCGGACGGGUGAGGAAUACAUCGGAAUCUACUUUUUCGUGGGGGAUAACGUAGGGAAACUUACGCUAAUACCGCAUCCGACCUACGGGUGAAAGCAGGGGAUCUUCGGACCUUGCGCGAUUGAAUGAGCCGAUGUCGGAUUAGCUCGUUGGCGGGGUAAAGGCCCACCAAGGCGACGAUCCGUAGCUGGUCUGAGAGGAUGAUCAGCCACACUGGAACUGAGACACGGUCCAGACUCCUACGGGAGGCAGCAGUGGGGAAUAUUGGACAAUGGGCGCAAGCCUGAUCCAGCCAUACCGCGUGGGUGAAGAAGGCCUUCGGGUUGUAAAGCCCUUUUGUUGGGAAAGAAAAGCAGCAGGUUAAUACCCCGCUGUUCUGACGGUACCCAAAGAAUAAGCACCGGCUAACUUCGUG